RNAcentral lists this ribosomal RNA (476 nucleotides) under uncultured bacterium. RNAcentral's name for it is "bacterial SSU rRNA". It matches the Rfam family "Bacterial small subunit ribosomal RNA", at positions 29 to 518 of the family's 1533-position model. The record is from RNAcentral.
ACGAACGCUGGCGGCGUGCCUAACACAUGCAAGUCGAACGGACUGAUCCCUUCGGGGAUGAAAGUUAGUGGCGGACGGGUGAGUAACGCGUGAGCAACCUGCCUUUCAGAGGGGAAUAACGUUUGGAAACAGACGCUAAUACCGCAUAACGCAUAGGUGUCGCAUGGCAUUUAUGCCAAAGGAGCAAUCCGCUGAAAGAUGGGCUCGCGUCCGAUUAGAUAGUUGGUGGGGUAACGGCCUACCAAGUCGACGAUCGGUAGCCGGACUGAGAGGUUGAACGGCCACAUUGGGACUGAGACACGGCCCAGACUCCUACGGGAGGCAGCAGUGGGGGAUAUUGCACAAUGGGCGGAAGCCUGAUGCAGCAACGCCGCGUGAGGGAAGACGGUUUUCGGAUUGUAAACCUCUGUCUUUGGUGACGAAGAAAUGACGGUAGCCGAGGAGGAAGCCACGGCUAACUACGUGCCAGCCGCGGC